UGGGGAAUUGUUCGCAAUGGGCGCAAGCCUGACGACGCAACGCCGCGUGGAGGACGAAGACUUUCGGGUCGUAAACUCCUGUCGAGUGGGAAGAAUAGCCUGUGGGUGAAUAGCCUGCAGGACUGACGGUACCGCUAAAGGAAGCCCCGGCUAACUCCGUGCCAGCAGCCGCGGUAAUACGGGGGGGGCAAGCGUUGUUCGGAAUUACUGGGCGUAAAGGGCUCGUAGGCGGCCAACUAAGUCGGACGUGAAAUCCCUCGGCUUAACCGGGGAACUGCGUCCGAUACUGGAUGGCUUGAAGUCGGGAGAGGGAUGCGGAAUUCCAGGUGUAGCGGUGAAAUGCGUAGAUAUCUGGAGGAACACCGGUGGCGAAGGCGGCAUCCUGGACCGAUAUUGACGCUGAUGAGCGAAAGCCAGGGGAGCAAACGG
This 429-nucleotide ribosomal RNA is filed under the name uncultured bacterium. RNAcentral's name for it is "bacterial SSU rRNA". It matches the Rfam family "Bacterial small subunit ribosomal RNA", at positions 355 to 775 of the family's 1533-position model. The record is from RNAcentral.